CCCUCGUAGUUCAAUGGAUAGAACAACCCCGUCCUAAGGGGUCGAUGUAGGUUCGAUUCCUGCCGAGGG
Molecule: transfer RNA, 69 nt
Filed under: Candidatus Campbellbacteria bacterium CG22_combo_CG10-13_8_21_14_all_36_13
Lineage: Bacteria; Candidatus Campbelliibacteriota
Description: tRNA-Arg
Rfam family: tRNA
About the family: Transfer RNA (tRNA) molecules are approximately 80 nucleotides in length.
Source: RNAcentral